UGGGGAAUUUUGCACAAUGGGGGAAACCCUGAUGCAGCGACGCCGCGUGAUUUAGAAGGCCUUCGGGUUGUAAAAAUCUUUUCUAUGGGAAGAAAAUGACAGUACCAUAGGAAUAAGGACCGGCUAAUUACGUGCCAGCAGCCGCGGUAAUACGUAAGGUCCGAGCGUUGUCCGGAAUCAUUGGGCGUAAAGGGUACGUAGGCGGUUUAAUAAGUCGAAUGUUAAAGAUCGGGGCUCAACCCCGUAAAGCAUUGGAAACUGAUAAACUUGAGUAGUGGAGAGGAAAGUGGAAUUCCUAGUGUAGUGGUGAAAUACGUAGAUAUUAGGAGGAAUACCAGUAGCGAAGGCGACUUUCUGGACACAAACUGACGCUGAGGUACGAAAGCGUGGGGAGCAAACAGG
This 402-nucleotide ribosomal RNA is filed under the name Bacteroidota bacterium. Its description in RNAcentral is "Bacteroidetes bacterium partial 16S ribosomal RNA". It matches the Rfam family "Bacterial small subunit ribosomal RNA", at positions 355 to 776 of the family's 1533-position model. The record is from RNAcentral. Lineage: Bacteria; Pseudomonadati; Bacteroidota.